ACUCCUACGGAAGGCAGCAGUAACGAAUCUUCCGCAAUGGGCGAAAAGCCUGACGGAGCAAUGCCGCGUGCGGGAUGAAGUAUCUUCUGGUAUGUAAACCGCUGUCAGGGGGCAGAAACAAUGAUUGCCCCCAGAGGAAGUGGCGACUAACUCUGUGCCAGCAGCCGCGGUAAU
Molecule: ribosomal RNA, 174 nt
Filed under: uncultured bacterium
Lineage: Bacteria
Description: partial 16S ribosomal RNA
Rfam family: Bacterial small subunit ribosomal RNA
Source: RNAcentral